GACGAACGCUGGCGGCGUGCUUAACACAUGCAAGUCGAGCGGUAAGGCCCUUUCGGGGUACGACGAGCGGCGAACGGUGAGUAACACGUGGGUGACCUGCCCUCAGCUCUGGGAUAAGCCUGGGAAACCGGGUCUAAUACUGGAUAUGACUCCAUGACGCAUGUUGUGGGGUGGAAAGCCUUGUGCGGCUGAGGAUGGGCCCGCGGCCUAUCAGCUUGUUGGUGGGGUNANGGCCUACCAAGGCGACGACGGGUAGCCGGCCUGAGAGGGCGACCGGCCACACUGGGACUGAGACACGGCCCAGACUCCUACGGGAGGCAGCAGUGGGGAAUCUUGCGCAAUGGGCGAAAGCCUGACGCAGCGACGCCGCGUGAGGGAUGACGGCCUCGG
Molecule: ribosomal RNA, 390 nt
Filed under: uncultured bacterium
Lineage: Bacteria
Description: bacterial SSU rRNA
Rfam family: Bacterial small subunit ribosomal RNA
Source: RNAcentral